Mustela lutreola (European mink) is the source of this 2159-nucleotide long non-coding RNA. RefSeq lists it as uncharacterized. The transcript has 3 exons. The record is from RefSeq and is a predicted model, not a curated record. NCBI's taxonomy places the organism in Eukaryota, Metazoa, Chordata, Mammalia, Carnivora, Mustelidae.
GCGAACUCGCGAGGCUUUGCUCUGGCGCAGUAGGCGAUUCGGGAUCCCUCUGCCGCCCUCCGCUUUCCCCGCCCCGCAGGACCCGGGGGCGCAGGAACGACCCCGGCUGACCCUGGAGAGCCCCUGCGUCUUCCCGCGGCGCGGCUCGGGAAGGACGCGCGCAGCCCAGCCGGGAAAUGGGCGAGCGGGUGUAGACUGGGAGAACACUGGCGCGCGGGUGUAGACCGCAGAGGGGCGGGGCGAGCGGGCCGCGAGCUGCAGGUGGCUGCGCACGGGGCUGCGCGCGCGGGAACCCCGCGCGGCUGGAAGGGAACGUCGGGCCGAGUCCCGACGUCCCUCGCUGCGGAUCCCCGAGGCCGAGGCCAGGUCCGCCAGCUGGGUGUGCUUCCCGCGGGACCAAGGACACGCACCUUGAAGACCACACGGUCUUCACGGUCAACCACACGGUCUCCACGUGUCCGCAGGCGCUCCAGACAAGACCUUGCCCGCGCCCACAGUCCCAGAGUCGGCCUGCGGGUGCUUCAACCACGAACCACGAGCAAAACUCAUCAGAUGCUUGUGAAAGUGUUUCUAGGAUCAAGACCAAAAUUCACAGAUAGGACCAGGGAAAAGAACUAAAGCGAAACAAAUACAUGCGGGAAACUGAAUUGUAUAAAGUUAAAAUUAAGUCCUCAGGAAACUUCUGAGGAACUGUUCCUCCAAACAUGGAGUUCCAGUAAGAAAGAAGAUGUGAAAUCUGGAAUAGGGACGCGGGGUGCGGACCCUCUCCAGGGUUGGGGCUUGCACCCGAGCAGCAGUGUGACCCUAUUUGGAGACAAGGCAUUUAUGGAGGUGGUUAAGAUGCAGCGAGGCCAUGAGGGUGCAGCAAGUGUCCUGAGAAGAAGACGGGGAGCUCCAGGAGCCAGUGCACAGGGGAAAGGCCCUGAAGGACACACGGGGAGAGUGGCCGCCUGCACGCCAAGGAGAGAGGCCUCAGGAGAAACCGACUCUGCGGACACCUUGAUCUGGACUUCUAGUUUCCAGAAAACAAACUGAGCAAAGAAAUUUCUGCAUGUGCAAACCACCCAGUCUGGUAUUGUCAUGGCAGCCAGAGCGGACUAAGACACCUUCUCUGGUGGCUGGUGGCCCCAAGACACUACGGCAGAGGACGUCAGUCCUCCUCAGGCCGGCCCGGCAUGGGGGUACCUCUCUCCCCUACUCUGUUCACAGGCCAGCCCAGACUCAAGAGGGUGGAAUAGAACCAAACAUCUUUUUUUUUUUUUAAGAUUUUAUUUAUUUAUUUGAGAGAGAGCACGAGCACAGGAAAGGGUAGAGCGAGGGGGAGAGGUAGACUCCCCACUGAGCGGAGAGCCUGGUGUGGGACUCAGGACCUGGGACCAGGACCUGCGCUGAAGGCAGACACUUAACCGACUGAGCCCCCCAGGCAUCGCUAGACCUCACAUCUUCGUGGCACCGUGUGCACAUGGGGAGGAGAGAAGCUGCGGGUGAGCACCCUGGGGGCCGCUGCUGUCCCUUCCCCCACCCGGCCCCUGGAGGUUUGUGAGCUCCAGAGGGGCGGGCGUCUCGGCUGGGCUGUUCACCAGGCACUGUGCUCAUGUCAGCGUCUAUGCAAAAUGCUCCGGGGGCUCUCCAGCUGAAUGAGGGCUCCUUGGAGGUUCGCCAUACACGUCCCUCAACCUUUCCGUAUGCUGGGAAAGUUUUAUAACAUACAUUUGGGUUACGAUUGGUGCCUUAGUUAUAUGUCUUCUCUACUUGAAUAUAGAAACCAUAAGGGCAAGGAACAUGGCUUUGUUGUGUAUCGUUGUACCCCAGGGGCUGUAUUAUGAUGCGUGCUCAAGAAAUAUGUAAUUAACCAUGAAAAGAAAGAAAUAAAACUAACAAGAAAACAAAACUGAAAAAUCCCAAAAAAACUCUAACUUCUCAGGAGCUUGCACAGACUUCUCCCUAUUUCAAGAGUCCCUUUUCUUUCUUAUGAUUAUCCUUUUGAAUAAAGUCUCUGCUAAGUCCAGAUUUGUUUUCAUUAAACAAAUGUUUCUGGAUAAACAUUACUUACAAAAGUUAAAAUACUUAAGGUUAACUUCUUUUAUGCCACAAAAAAAUGUCUAUACUAAAGAAUUUCUGUACAGUGCCAAUAAAAUGGAAACAGGUAAAACUAUGAG